AGGGAUUCACGUCUUUGCAAAUUCUAUUCACUAUCUAAAAAUUUCAUCUUAAUGUUUUGAAGAGACCAUAACGUACUAUCACCAAACAAAACAAAAGGAACCCACUCCACCGAAAUGUCCAAGAAAACCACGAGUACACACACUUCAACAAUAAAAUGCGGUUCGAUCUGCAUCGUCACUAACGCAAUUUAAGCUGAUUACAGUGUGGAUCGAAAUACGAUUCACUGGAGACAUCGUUGAGGAUAGGACUGUUGCCUCAUGGUUGGACUGUGCGGCGAAGAUAGUCACAGCCUUACGGAACUACAACUAGCUCGCGCUGUCUAUGGACAACUUUCCGGAUUCUGGCUAGAAGAGAAUCGUUCCCUAAGUGAGAAAAAGAUGCACAAAUUCACUAGAAUAGACUCGGAGGCGCGAUUACUAUGUUUCAGAACGAGAUGGGAACCAUCUGUUCACUGGAUCCGCCUCCCAUACUCUGUUGACCACCACCACCAACUCCUGGUCACCAGCUCCACCAUCAACUACAAGUAGAUAGUGGGUGCGUUGUCAAAAUGAAAAAGGCGCAAACUAGAAUAUAAAAUAAAAACACACCCACACUCACAUCUCGGCAGGGUUCGCAAUUGCCAAAGAAAUGGACUAAAGCUAAAUCGUUUUAGCUUUAAAAUUACCUCAGCAUCGCUAUCCCCUCUUGCCCCAAAUGAAGCUGAAAACUCGCUCAGCUUCCUUGUUCCUGAUCGUUGCAUGAGUGCAACACUGUGAUGGUGAGCGCACCGAGUACCACACACAAAGAAAACCUUGAAUGCUCCACACUGGCGGCCUAAAAUGACAGAAUUGGGGCUGGUGCAGCUCCAACAUCACCACAUUGGAGGAAACGACGAUGCGAAGGAGUGAAGAAGAUGAAUAUCUGAGUGAUCGUUGUGUGCAGGAUUGGUAUGCGACGGGCUUUACGUGCGCACGACCUUCACACAGAGUGCAAGAGAGAGAGGGAG
This 986-nucleotide long non-coding RNA is filed under the name Physcomitrium patens. RNAcentral describes it as "long non-coding RNA (PPAT_LNC000694)". Lineage: Eukaryota; Viridiplantae; Streptophyta; Bryopsida; Funariales; Funariaceae. The record is from RNAcentral.